This 424-nucleotide unclassified non-coding RNA is filed under the name soil metagenome. RNAcentral's name for it is "partial contains 5.8S ribosomal RNA, internal transcribed spacer 2, and large subunit ribosomal RNA". The stretch from base 1 to 120 matches the Rfam family "5.8S ribosomal RNA", at positions 35 to 154 of the family's 154-position model. The record is from RNAcentral.
GAUGAAGAACGCAGCGAAAUGCGAUACGUAAUGUGAAUUGCAGAAUUCAGUGAAUCAUCGAAUCUUUGAACGCAUAUUGCGCUCUCUGGUAUUCCGGAGAGCAUGCUUGUCUGAGUAUCAGUAAACACCUCAACUCCCUUUCUUCUUGAAAUGGAGCUGGACUUGAGUGAUCCCAACGCUUUAUUCAUAAAGUGGCGGGUUACUUGAAAUGCAGGUGCAGCUGGACUUUUCUCUGAGCUAUAAGCAUAUCUAUUUAGUCUGCCUCAAAACAGAUUAUUACCUUUGCUGCAGCUAACAUAAAGGAGAUUAGUUCUUGUGCUGACUGAUGCAGGAUUCACAAAGACCGCUUCGGCUGUCUUUGUAAACUCGAUCUCAAAUCAAGUAAGACUACCCGCUGAACUUAAGCAUAUCAAUAAGCGGAGGA